GAUGAACGCUGGCGGCGUGCCUAAUACAUGCAAGUCGAACGGAGAUUGUAGCAAUACGGUCUUAGUGGCGAACGGGUGAGUAAUGCGUUGGUAACCUGCCCCGAAGCGUGGGAUAACGGUCCGAAAGGACCACUAAUACCACAUGUGAUCCCGAGGAAUAGAUACUUGGGAUGAAAGGAGCAAUUCGCUUCGGGAGGGACCUGCGUCCCAUCAGCUAGUUGGUAGGUAACGGCCUACCAAGGCGAUGACGGUAGGGACCUGAGAGGGUGGCCCCCCAAAUGGAACUGAAACACGGUCCAUACACCUACGGGUGGCAGCAGUAGGGAAUAUUGGUUAAUGUGCGAAAGCGCGAACCAGCAACGCCGCGUGUGCGAUGAAGGCCUUCGGGUCGUAAAGCACUUUUUGCAGGGAAGAGGAAGGACGGUACCUGCAGAAUAAGUCUCGGCUAACUACGUG
RNAcentral lists this ribosomal RNA (456 nucleotides) under uncultured bacterium. Its description in RNAcentral is "bacterial SSU rRNA". It matches the Rfam family "Bacterial small subunit ribosomal RNA", at positions 28 to 507 of the family's 1533-position model. The record is from RNAcentral.